AGGGAGGUGAUGAACCUUUCUCCACAUGAUCAAUUAUGAUUAUGCUGUCAUUUUAUUAUUUUUCUUUUAUCUUUUGAAGAGAAAUCAACUCAAAGAUUCUUGUCCUU
This is a small nucleolar RNA of Elaeis guineensis (African oil palm), 107 nucleotides long. RefSeq annotates it as small nucleolar RNA Z103. NCBI's taxonomy places the organism in Eukaryota, Viridiplantae, Streptophyta, Magnoliopsida, Arecales, Arecaceae. The record is from RefSeq and is a predicted model, not a curated record.